RNAcentral lists this ribosomal RNA (480 nucleotides) under uncultured bacterium. RNAcentral describes it as "SSU rRNA". It matches the Rfam family "Bacterial small subunit ribosomal RNA", at positions 26 to 518 of the family's 1533-position model. The record is from RNAcentral.
AGGACGAACGCUGGCGGCGUGCUUAACACAUGCAAGUGGUGCGACGAACCAGGGCUUGCCCUGGGGCAAAGCCGCGAACGGGUGAGUAACACGUGAGUAACCUGCCCCGAUGACCGGGACAACCCGAGGAAACUCGGGCUAAUACCGGAUGUGGCGCACUGGCGUAAGCCGGUUCGCUAAAGGAAGCUUCGGCCUCCGCAUUGGGAGGGGCUCGCGGCCCAUUAGCUUGUUGGUGGGGUAACGGCCCACCAAGGCAACGAUGGGUAGCUGGUCUGAGAGGACGAUCAGCCACACUGGGACUGAGACACGGCCCAGACUCCUACGGGAGGCAGCAGUGGGGAAUCUUGCGCAAUGCGCGAAAGCGUGACGCAGCAACGCCGCGUGGGGAUGAAGGCUCUCGGGUUGUAAACCCCUUUCAGGAGGGACGAAAAUGACGGUACCUCCAGAAGAAGCCCCGGCCAACUACGUGCCAGCAGCCGC